RNAcentral lists this ribosomal RNA (504 nucleotides) under uncultured bacterium. RNAcentral's name for it is "bacterial SSU rRNA". It matches the Rfam family "Bacterial small subunit ribosomal RNA", at positions 28 to 526 of the family's 1533-position model. The record is from RNAcentral.
GAUGAACGCUAGCGGCAGGCUUAACACAUGCAAGUCGAGGGGCAGCAUGACACUUCAGUGUUGAUGGCGACCGGCGCACGGGUGCGUAACGCGUAUGCAACCUACCUUUAACUGGGGCAUAGCUCGAGGAAACUCGAAUUAAUUCCCCAUAGUACAUUAUAAUAUCUCAUGAUAUAAAUGUUAAAGAUUUAUCGGUUAAAGAUGGGCAUGCGUCUGAUUAGUUUGUUGGUAAGGUAACGGCUUACCAAGACUACGAUCAGUAGGGGGUCUGAGAGGAUGAUCCCCCACACUGGUACUGAGACACGGACCAGACAUCUACGGAUGGCAGCAGUAAGGAAUAUUGGGCAAUGGGCGCAAGCCUGACCCAGCCAUGCCGCGUGCAGGAUGACGACCCUAUGGGUUGUAAACUGCUUUUAUAUAGGAAGAAAAUACUCUUGCGAGAGGAUCUGACGGUACUAUAUGAAUAAGGACCGGCUAACUCCGUGCCAGCCGCCGCAGUAACAC